GGCCGAGUGGUUUAAUGGUAUAAUUCCUGCUUUGGGUGCAGGAGGCUCCGGGUUCGAUCCCCGGCUCGGCCC
Hamiltosporidium tvaerminnensis is the source of this 72-nucleotide non-coding RNA. NCBI's taxonomy places the organism in Eukaryota, Fungi, Microsporidia, Dubosqiidae. The record is from the annotation of a GenBank genome assembly.